This 458-nucleotide ribosomal RNA is filed under the name uncultured bacterium. Its description in RNAcentral is "bacterial SSU rRNA". It matches the Rfam family "Bacterial small subunit ribosomal RNA", at positions 54 to 507 of the family's 1533-position model. The record is from RNAcentral.
CAUGCAAGUCGAACGGCAGCACGGGGCGAACCUGGUGGGCGAGUGGCGAACGGGUGAGUAAUGCAUCGGAACGUGCCAUUGAGUGGGGGUAACGUAGCGAAAGUUACGCUAAUACCGCAUAUUCUGUGAGCAGGAAAGCAGGGGAUCGCAAGACCUUGCGCUCUUUGAGCGGCCGAUGUCAGAUUAGCUAGUUGGUGAGGUAACGGCUUACCAAGGCGACGAUCUGUAGCGGGUCUGAGAGGAUGAUCCGCCACACUGGAACUGAGACACGGUCCAGACUCCUACGGGAGGCAGCAGUGGGGAAUUUUUGGACAAUGGGGGCAACCCUGAUCCAGCCAUGCCGCGUGAGUGAAGAAGGCCUUCGGGUUGUAAAGCUCUUUCGGCCGGGAAGAAAUCGCAUGGGUUAAUACCCUGUGUGGAUGACGGUACCGGCAUAAGAAGCACCGGCUAACUACGUG